Molecule: ribosomal RNA, 830 nt
Filed under: Pasteurella multocida
Lineage: Bacteria; Pseudomonadati; Pseudomonadota; Gammaproteobacteria; Pasteurellales; Pasteurellaceae
Description: partial 23S ribosomal RNA
Rfam family: Bacterial large subunit ribosomal RNA
Source: RNAcentral
GCGGCUAGACGGAAAGACCCCGUGAACCUUUACUAUAGCUUGACACUGAACAUUGAAUUUUGAUGUGUAGGAUAGGUGGGAGCCUUUGAAGCAGUGACGCCAGUCAUUGUGGAGACGACCUUGAAAUACCACCCUUUAACGUUUGAUGUUCUAACGAAGUGCCUGAAACGGGUACUCGGACAGUGUCUGGUGGGUAGUUUGACUGGGGCGGUCUCCUCCCAAAGCGUAACGGAGGAGCACGAAGGUUUGCUAAUGACGGUCGGACAUCGUCAGGUUAGUGCAAUGGUAUAAGCAAGCUUAACUGCGAGACAGACAAGUCGAGCAGGUGCGAAAGCAGGUCAUAGUGAUCCGGUGGUUCUGAAUGGAAGGGCCAUCGCUCAACGGAUAAAAGGUACUCCGGGGAUAACAGGCUGAUACCGCCCAAGAGUUCAUAUCGACGGCGGUGUUUGGCACCUCGAUGUCGGCUCAUCACAUCCUGGGGCUGAAGUAGGUCCCAAGGGUAUGGCUGUUCGCCAUUUAAAGUGGUACGCGAGCUGGGUUUAGAACGUCGUGAGACAGUUCGGUCCCUAUCUGCCGUGGGCGUUGGAUGAUUGAUUGGGGCUGCUCCUAGUACGAGAGGACCGGAGUGGACGCAUCACUGGUGUUCCAGUUGUCUCGCCAGAGGCAUUGCUGGGUAGCUAAAUGCGGAAGAGAUAAGUGCUGAAAGCAUCUAAGCACGAAACUUGCCAAGAGAUGAGUCAUCCCUGACUUUAAGUCAGUAAGGGUUGUUGUAGACUACGACGUAGAUAGGUUGGGUGUGUAAGUGUAGUGAUACAUUGAGCUAACCAAUA